AGCAGCCGCGGUAAUUCCAGCUCCAAUAGCGUAUAUUAAAGUUGUUGCAGUUAAAAAGCUCGUAGUUGAAUUUCGGGGUCAGUAGAUUGGUCGUGCCACUGGUAUGUACUGGUCUCACUGGCUCCUCCUUCCUGAUGAACCGUAAUGCCAUUAAUUUGGUGUUGCGGGGAGACUGGACUGUUACUUAGAAAAAAUUAGAGUGUUUAAAGCAGGCUAACGCUUGAAUACAUUAGCAUGGAAUAAUGAAAUAGGACGUUCGAUCUUAUUUUGUUGGUUUCUAAGAUUGACGUAAUGAUUAAUAGGGAUAGUUGGGGGCAUUAGUAUUCAAUUGUCAGAGGUGAAAUUCUGG
RNAcentral lists this ribosomal RNA (349 nucleotides) under uncultured Glomeraceae. Its description in RNAcentral is "SSU rRNA". It matches the Rfam family "Eukaryotic small subunit ribosomal RNA", at positions 569 to 922 of the family's 1831-position model. The record is from RNAcentral. Lineage: Eukaryota; Fungi; Glomeromycota; Glomeromycetes; Glomerales; Glomeraceae.